UACGUAGGGGGCAAGCGUUGUCCGGAUUUAUUGGGCGUAAAGAGCGUGUAGGCGGCCAGACAGGUCCGUUGUGAAAACUCGAGGCUCAACCUCGAGACGUCGACGGAAACCGUCUGGCUAGAGUCCGGAAGAGGAGUGUGGAAUUCCUGGUGUAGCGGUGAAAUGCGCAGAUAUCAGGAAGAACACCUAUGGCGAAGGCAGCACUCUGGAACGGUACUGACGCUGAGACGCGAAAGCGUGGGGAGCGAACAGG
This 253-nucleotide ribosomal RNA is filed under the name uncultured bacterium. RNAcentral's name for it is "partial 16S ribosomal RNA". It matches the Rfam family "Bacterial small subunit ribosomal RNA", at positions 524 to 776 of the family's 1533-position model. The record is from RNAcentral.